GAUGAACGCUGGCGGCGUGCCUUAUACAUGCAAGUCGAGCGACCACACGAGCUGCUUGCUCCUCUUACGUUAGCGUCGGACGGGUGAGUAAAAUGUGUCUAACCUACCUAUAAGGCUGGGAUAACUUCGGCAAACCGUACCUAAUUCCGGCUUAUAUAUUGAGCCGCAUGGUUCAGUAGUUACAGACGGUUUUGUUGUCACUUAUACAUUGAUCCGUGCCGCAUUAGCUAGUUGGUAAGGUAACGGCUUACCAAGGCAACGAUGCGUAGCCGACCUGAGAGGGUGAUCCGCCACACUGGGACUGAGACACGGUCCAGACUCCUACGGGAGGCAGCAGUAGGGAAUUUUGCGCAAUGGGCGAAAGCCUGACGGAGCCACGCCGCGUGAGUGAAGAAGGCCUUCGGAUCGUAAAGCUCUGUUAGUAGGGAAGAAAAAGCAUGUAAGUAAACAGGGAGGGGUUGACGGUACCAAAACAAGAAGCAACGGCUAACUACGUG
This 497-nucleotide ribosomal RNA is filed under the name uncultured bacterium. RNAcentral's name for it is "partial 16S ribosomal RNA". It matches the Rfam family "Bacterial small subunit ribosomal RNA", at positions 28 to 507 of the family's 1533-position model. The record is from RNAcentral.